Ictidomys tridecemlineatus (thirteen-lined ground squirrel) is the source of this 2438-nucleotide long non-coding RNA. RefSeq lists it as uncharacterized. The record is from RefSeq and is a predicted model, not a curated record. Lineage: Eukaryota; Metazoa; Chordata; Mammalia; Rodentia; Sciuridae.
GAGCGGGGGCGGCGCGAGGUGUGUGUAUGGGCGCCUUUGGCGCCGAGGGGAGAAGGACGCCUCUGCCUGUUGCCCCGGCAACCAUACAACUUCCGGCCCCACUUCCUGGGGCGAUGAGCGGACUUCGCCAUUUUUCCUCUUCUGCCCUGCAGAUAGAGCGUCCUGCGGGGUGGAGUGCCAGCUUGGCGGUGGCAGUUUGUUCCUCGUGGGCCUAGGUCUCAUGGCGAGUGUCCGGAAGCCAGCGUCCACGUCCCGCAGCUCGGAUCCUGCGACGGUAGCGGGCCUGGCCCGCCGCUGCACGUGCUGAUCCGGGCGAGGACGCCACGCCGGCGCUUUGGAGGACGGCGCGGCCGCUGUGCCCGGUCACUGCGUCGGGUAGAGGUGGGGCCGCGCUCCCCCGGAACGACCCCUAGUUUCUACUCCACUCUUUUCUCUACAGUCAGGAGAACGUUGGGGCAUCUACAUGUGCGACAGGACCUGGGAGACAAUGUGAGGACACAAGGAGAAGACAAUCUGCAAUCCAGAUGGGGGCCCUCAGAGAACCAGCCAUUCUAGUUUCAGUCACCAGUCCCAGGACUGUGAGAAACCUGUUGUUUCUAACCCCCCCCCCUUACAGUACUUUGCAUUAGCAGCCUCAGUGGACCAGGAGGGAAUGAGAAACACCACAAGGAGAUGGUAAAAGAAUAAGUGGGUUAGGAAUGACCUAAGGCAGAAGGUGCAAACCUAGGAGAGAAGGGUGAAAACCAAGUGUUAUGGCCCAGCAACCAGGACCACCAUCCUCCCAAGAAACAGGAGGCUCAUUCAGCAGUGGCAGGGUGUCAGGGAUGACCAGAAGGCAAGGCCCACUCUAUUAUAAUUCUCAGGUACCACAUAGAGUAGAACAUUGCCUUACUCAUGAAUGUACAUAAAUAACAAGGAUCAACAAUCACUGGAGGAAGAGAAAAACCUAAAAGUAAUAAAAAAAUGCAAGGGGAAAAAUGUUAUAAAAUUCUUUAUAGUUGGCAAUCUCUGAAGAUAAUAUUACAAAUGAAAGAGAAGUCCAUCUAGAGAACAAGAAAGACCUCCCCAAAAUUAAAGAAGCAGUGAGUUAAUAGAAGACAGAUUCAACAACACUCUUAGAUGAUGGAGAAAGAGCACAAGAAGAUUAGAAGAUAAAUUCAAGGAGUCUGACAUGAAAAAUAGGAAUUACAUGAAAGGAGAAUAGAGAAAAUUAUGAGAAGGAAAUGAAGAAAUGACGCAAGAAAACUUUCCAGAUCUUGAAGACAUUUUCUCAUGGAAAGGAACCACCAAGGACCCAGCACAAAACUUAAUUGGAAAGGAUCCACACCAAGGUAUAUCAUUACAAAAUUUCAAAACAUCAGAGAAAAUUUAUUAAAGCUUCUGGAAGGGAAAAUAAAAAAGCUCACAUUUAAGGCAUACAAAAUUACAAUGGCAUGGAAAUUCCUUAUAGAAUCCCACUAUAGUGCAUACCUCUCAUCCCAGCUAUUGAGGAGGAUGAGGAAUGAUAUCUCAAGUUCCAGACCAGCCUGGGCAACUUAGAAAGACCCUGUCUCAAAAAACAAAAAGGUCUGGGGAUGUAGUUCAGUGAUAAAAGGCCCCUGGGUUCAAUCCCCAGUACCAAAUAAAGAAAAAUCCCAGAAAGCCAAACUAUGCUAGACCAUUAACUUUAAGAUUCUGAAGAAAAUAAUCCAUUAAAAUCUUAAAUUCUCAGCAGAAUAAAGACACUUUAAAGUAUGCAAGCUCAAAAACGUUGUCUAUCAAAUACCAUAACUCAGAAAGCUGAUGGAAGAUAUUCUAAGUCAAGAAGAAGAGUAUUGAGGGCCUAUAAAACAGAAGAGAAGGGGAAACCCAGGACAAGAGGUUGGAGAGUGUAGGCCUCCAGAAGAAACAUCUGCAGCAAAGAGUGAAGCUGUGAAGCACCUCAUGUGCUUGAGGUUUAAACAAGGUCUUCAGAGUUUGGCGAUGAUCAGUAAAAGCCAUACAAGAAAGCUGAUGAGCAAAAAGCUGGGCAAAAACUGAAACCAGCAAAAGUGGAGAUGUAACUGCAGCCUGUGCCUCAGCUGUGCAUGAUCAUCACGUGAUAAAAUAGAUUCUGAAUGGAGCAUUAAUGGACAAAGUACGGCCACAGCCAUUUUUAAGAAAGGGUGACCCUAACUGUGUAGUCGGGUUUUCAUUUAGGAAGUGAGGGUGCUAGAGCUAGGAUCCAGAAUCCACACAUUGGAAAUAAAGGCCUUAUAAGAAAGAUCUUUUCAAAAUCAGAGUAAAUUCCAAGUAAGUAGCUAAGAGAUAAAUGUGGUGGAAGGAAUUGGGAAUGGGAAUGUGUAGUGUGGGCAAAGACUAUUUUUGUCACAAAUUAAGCAGCACUAUUUGAAUUUUUAGAUGAGUAUACUUGUUAAAGGAAAAUUUUAAGUUUUAACAAGUACAAAUGGCACAAUUAA